This 361-nucleotide transfer-messenger RNA is filed under the name Gemmatimonadaceae bacterium. It matches the Rfam family "transfer-messenger RNA". From Rfam's summary of the family: Bacterial tmRNA, also known as 10Sa RNA or SsrA, is named for its dual tRNA and mRNA-like properties. Its role is to liberate the mRNA from a stalled ribosome. The record is from RNAcentral. Lineage: Bacteria; Pseudomonadati; Gemmatimonadota; Gemmatimonadia; Gemmatimonadales; Gemmatimonadaceae.
GGGGGCGACCGGUUUCGAUUGUGUAGGUGGCUCUGUGACUGCGCGCCCAGGUCCUCGGGUUCCUGGUAAAACACUCGGGAAAUUCACAACUGCGAAUAACAACUUCGCUCUCGCCGCGUAAAGCUUAGGCUUUACCCGGCAGUGCCUGAGAGGUAGCCCCGCCCGAGGCGGCACUCAGGUAUCGCAAAUUCGGGCUGGCUGGCUGGCGCGUCCUCCGCCAGUCGGCGAGAUCAAGAUGGACUCAUCCGUGCGACGGAGGCCCACCGGCCAGCGCCCGGAGAAACCAAUCGGUGGGAUACGCGCGUAGACGUUGCGGAAGAUCUUAUGCAAGACGGGAGUUCGAAUCUCCCCGCCUCCACUU